GUGAGGGAAAGUUGAAAUAGAACUUUGCAGAGAGAGUUAAGAGGGCGUGAAACCGUUAAUUGGCAAACGAAUCGGAGCCACGAAGUCGUUUCGCAGAUAGUUGGGCCAGGUUCAGCUUUGGCUUGCCCCGGCGGCAAGUUAGGGUGCACUCUUGGAUUUAGCCAACCAAUCUUUGUAAGCGUACACUGCAACCAGUUAGACAAUUGCUGAUGGGCAUAGUGGCGUUUGUUGGCAGUUGGCGCAAGCUGGCUGCCCGGCGGGCGUCGCGCAGCAUUUGUUUGCUGCAAGAGGAAGUAGUUUGGCUUUGCGUAUGCGGAUGUGCGAACUGCUGGCUUGCUAGCAAGUGAGCUAUGAGCAAAUACUGACUGGCGAAAUGAAAAUCGACCCACUUGCGGCGUCGUUUUAAAGAGAAUGCGUCCGCAGGCCGCGCUGCUACACGUCUAGCUCGUGCGUCUUCUAAAGUUCGGUAGUUUUGAAUUUGGACUUGCCAGCUACCAAUGGGGCAACUCUUGGUGCUAGUAUAGCUUCCACCUAAUCGGCUAUUGACUUGGCGUACGGUUGUUUAGUGCGUGAAUCGUUUGGCGACGCGCGUCUAGCUGGAUGGCAAUUCGAAUUGGCAGUGAGUAGGUCGGCUUUCCGAACGACCCGUCUUGAAAC
This 657-nucleotide ribosomal RNA is filed under the name Acalitus vaccinii. RNAcentral's name for it is "partial large subunit ribosomal RNA". Lineage: Eukaryota; Metazoa; Arthropoda; Arachnida; Trombidiformes; Eriophyidae. The record is from RNAcentral.